Molecule: ribosomal RNA, 777 nt
Filed under: uncultured Neocallimastigales
Lineage: Eukaryota; Fungi; Neocallimastigomycota; Neocallimastigomycetes; Neocallimastigales
Description: partial large subunit ribosomal RNA
Rfam family: Eukaryotic large subunit ribosomal RNA
Source: RNAcentral
GUACACGCUGUGACUAGCAUAUCAAUAAGCGGAGGAAAAGAAACUAACAAGGAUUCCCCUAGUAACGGCGAGUGAAGCGGGGAAGAGCUCAAAUUUGAAAUCUUAAAGGGUUUCCCUUUACGAAUUGUAGUUUAAAGAAGUGUUUUCUGUUGAGGUUUUGGUAAAAGUUCUUUGGAAUAGGACAUCAUAGAGGGUGAGAAUCCCGUAUUUGACCUUUACUUUCAACUUUGUGAUACACUUUCAAAGAGUCGGAUUGUUUGGGAAUGCAGUCCAAAAUGGGUGGUAAAUUUCAUCUAAAGCUAAAUAUUGGCGAGAGACCGAUAGCGAACAAGUACCGUGAGGGAAAGAUGAAAAGAACUUUGAAAAGAGAGUUAAACAGUACGUGAAAUUGUCAAAAGGGAAGCGUUUGACACCAGUGUUGUUUUUCUGAAAAUCAAUUAAAGAACUGUUUAUGCUAAGCUGUUUAGACUUUAUCAGCUAUCUGUUUAGUUUUGAGCUUUUCUUUAAUGCACUUUUCAGUUAACAAGUCAACAUCAAUUUCUUUUCGCUGUAAAAAAGCUUGAGGAAGGUGGCUUGAGAUUCGUCUUAAGUGUUUAUAGCCUCUUGCCUAUGCAGUCGGGAGAGAUUGAGGUCUGCAGCGUAGAUCCUUCGGGGCUAAAUGCAUUUGUGCUAAGUUAUAGCAUUUUAUAGACAACUUGUUGACUAUGAUUUGUCUUGUAGCUUACUCGCUUAUGUUAUUUUACCUACGCUUAGGAUGUUGAGUCGUAGAGCACGCAG